CCUAAACAAAUAAAUAAAAAAUAAUAAAUCAAAUAAAAUUAGGUCCAUGUCUAGAUUAUAACAAAAUUUUCCCCAAACCCAAUACUAAAUCUAAAACCCAAAUGGCCCAAAUAUUAACCCAAACUUAGCCCAUAAAAAAUACAAAUCACAGAAACCCUAGGCAGUUAGUAGCAAACCAGCGCUGCAACAACCUCACCAACGUCGCAACACGUCACCCUGCACCACGCACAUUCUUCCUGCAACAAACCACGAACCACGAACAACAAAUAAUAGCAGAAAUUACGACAAAAAUGAAAAAGAGUUUUCGAGAGUUUCUUUUUUCCAUUAUUUCGGCUAUAAAAGCCAAAUUAAAUUUGUAAAAGGGGACGGAAAAGAAAAAAACACUGAUUUGAUAUAAAAAAAGAGAAUAAAAAUAGUACUUUAUUAAAGGUGAUUUUCUUUAACGAUCUUCCCUUCUGUUCUUGAUUCGUUUUUUGUUUAUUCAUUGUAUAUAAAAAAAGAACAGUGAAAAGAGGAGAGUUUUACCUGGUGAUCGAACCUUAGUUCUCUCCAUCGCAAUCAGAGGUGGGUGAGGAUCGAAGGCCUUGGAAUAGCUUGGCUGCGACGGCUAGGGUUGGGUUAAGGGAAAACCCUAGCAGAGAGUUUUAGAUUGUUUUAUUUUUUAUUUUUUUUGUUGCAG
This 679-nucleotide long non-coding RNA is filed under the name Gossypium barbadense (sea-island cotton). Its description in RNAcentral is "long non-coding RNA (GBAR_LNC019081)". The record is from RNAcentral. Lineage: Eukaryota; Viridiplantae; Streptophyta; Magnoliopsida; Malvales; Malvaceae.